Molecule: ribosomal RNA, 446 nt
Filed under: uncultured bacterium
Lineage: Bacteria
Description: bacterial SSU rRNA
Rfam family: Bacterial small subunit ribosomal RNA
Source: RNAcentral
AACGAACGCUGGCGGCAUGCCUAACACAUGCAAGUCGAACGAGACCUUCGGGUCUAGUGGCGCACGGGUGCGUAACGCGUGGGAAUCUGCCCUUGGGUUCGGAAUAACAGUUAGAAAUGACUGCUAAUACCGGAUAAUGACGUAAGUCCAAAGAUUUAUCGCCCAAGGAUGAGCCCGCGUAGGAUUAGCUUGUUGGUGAGGUAAAAGCUCACCAAGGCGACGAUCCUUAGCGGUCUGAGAGGAUGAUCAGCCACACUGGGACUGAGACACGGCCCAGACUCCUACGGGAGGCAGCAGUGGGGAAUAUUGGACAAUGGGCGAAAGCCUGAUCCAGCAAUGCCGCGUGAGUGAUGAAGGCCUUAGGGUUGUAAAGCUCUUUUACCCGGGAUGAUAAUGACAGUACCGGGAGAAUAAGCUCCGGCUAACUCCGUGCCAGCCGCCGCGGU